Molecule: long non-coding RNA, 832 nt
Filed under: Cricetulus griseus (Chinese hamster)
Lineage: Eukaryota; Metazoa; Chordata; Mammalia; Rodentia; Cricetidae
Description: lncRNA (ENSCGRG00015031541.1)
Source: RNAcentral
GCCAUUCCAGAUACCAGUAAAAUUCCUUUCCUGUCUAUCUCUGAGAGUUCGGACUUUACAAGAGGCAUUCAUUCUCCAGCCUCAUUGAGGAGAGGAAGGUAUUGAUUCUCCAGCCAUGCUGAGGAGAAGCAGCAGUCUGAUGCUUGGUGGAGAGCUCGUGGAGACAGCAUCAGCCCUUUCAUCUGGGUAGUGCCAGGAGUCACUGUGACAUUCUACAUUCUUGAUGUUUGUCAAAUCACUGGGGCAGGAGAGUGACAAGGGUGACUGAUGCAAGCUCCCGUCCAUUCUGAGUCACAGGAACACCAAGCUGAUAGCCUGAGACAAAUCAAAUCCGCAUUAUCAGCAGUGCGACCUGGUGGCCUCUGGGAUAUAGCCAAGCAGGAUUUUUGUUCCAGGUGAGGCGAGGCCUGCCAAUGACUAUGGAAUGGCAGGUGUACAGCCCGGGCCACAGGUUCCUCCCUCUGUCGCUGAAGCAUAUACCAGCUAUGAGCGCCCCAUCUGUCCUGCACGAAGCCAGAGGUCGGGGAGGCACAGACCUCCACGCUCCAGAUGUUUGCUCCCCUUCAGCCACGACAGCCCUUCACACCAAAGCCACAUCCCACCAGAAAGAGCCUGCACUCCGGUUAGAGUCACAGCCAACGCAUCCAAUCAUAAAUGGGAGCUCCUUGGUAGUUUUCUCCAUACCACCUUUGUUGAAUUUGGUGUAUUACCCAUGCCAUCGACAGUAACAAGAGUGUCAGAAAACACAUGAAGGAUGCUACCAGGAGCAGCGGCAUGUCUGGUGCCAGAAUAAAAACAGGUUCGGUGUCAGUGCUCACACCAUGGCCAGUGU